Leptidea sinapis is the source of this 2424-nucleotide long non-coding RNA. RefSeq lists it as uncharacterized. The transcript is spliced from 3 exons. Lineage: Eukaryota; Metazoa; Arthropoda; Insecta; Lepidoptera; Pieridae. The record is from RefSeq and is a predicted model, not a curated record.
UAUAAAUUUGUCUGCUAAAUAUUGACGACGUAGAUGUAGUGGAGGAUCACCACAUUCUACUUGAAGAGCAUUGAUAGGACUUGACCGCAUAGCACCAGAAACUACUCGUAAAGCUUUGGACUGUAUGAGAUCUAGUUUUUUAAAUGCCUUAACACUACCAGGCUCCAGCAAGAAUGUACCAUAAUCUAAUAUACUUCUUAUAAGAGCAUUAUAUAACAAUUUCAUGCAAAAAGGGUGCGCACCCCACCAAACACCUGACAGACAUCUUAAAAUAUUAAGAGUACGCUCACAUUUAGCAUUUAGGUAAUCACAAUGUGGGAUACCAGUUAGUUUCGAAUCUAAGACAAUUCCCAAAAACUUAACAUUAUCUUUAACUGGAAUCUGAUAACCCUCAUAAAAUAUAGAAAUAGGAGGAGGAGUUCUUGAUCUCGUGAAUAAAACUAUUGUACUUUUUUCAGGUGAUAGAUCAAGGCCGUUUAAGUCCAACCAAGUUUUUAAAUUUAUCAGCGGUUGUGUUAUAGAAGAACUAGCUUUUUCAAUAGAAAUAUCACGACAGUAAAUUAAUAGAUCAUCAGCAUACUGAAGAACAUUUACACUAUUAAGUGAUGAUUUUAAAUCGUGUGUAUAAAUAUUAUACAAUGUUGGGCUAAGUACUGAUCCCUGGGGGAGGCCCUUUGAAACAAGUCGAGUAAUUGACUUCCUGUCAUCUACUUUCAGGGUUAUGUAUCUUUCGGAAAGCAUGUUUAUGAUAAAAUUUGUUAAUAGCAGAGGUAUAUUAAGUUGUAAAAGCUUACUCUUUAAAAUACUUAUUACGACAUUAUCAUAGGCACAAUUUAUAUCUAAGAACGCAGCUAUUACUGAUUUAUUAUUUGAAAAUGAUAAUUGAAUUUCAGAAAUGAAUAUACUUAAGCUAUCAAUAGUACUUUUCCCACGUCUGAAGCCGAAUUGGGAUUCACAUAAUAGACCGUUAUGCUCAAGAAACCAUUCUAAACGAUUUUUUAUAAGAUGUUCUGUAAUUUUCAUCAAAACAGAAGAAAGUGCGAUUGGGCGAUAGGCAGAAUGGUCUGAAGAACACCUAUUAGGUUUCAGUAAAGGAAUUAUUUCUUGACGUUUCCACGUGGAGGGGAUGUUACUAGAUGUCACUAUGGAAUUUAUAAGAGAUAAAUAAUAAAAUAAAGCAUCAUCAUCUAAAUGAGAGAUAAAGGAAUACGGAAUACCAUCCAGCCCAGGAGCAGAAUCCUUAACAUGAGACAAUACACCUUUUAGUUCAGUGAGAGAAAAUAUACUGUUUAAACCAAAACAGUUAUCAUUAUUUAUAUUUAUUACAGGGUAAACAAUUAUUAAGUCUUCAGGAACGAAAGGUGGAGCCAAUUUAUCUAAAAAGCUAUUAACUAAAUGAAAAGGGAUUGAUUUUGGAGAUGAAUCUUUGUAUGCAGAUCUAAACCUUCUUAUAUUUUGCCAUACAAGAGAUGGUUUGACAUCAGCAUAUUUUCUUCUCUUUACUGCCUCAGUACAUUCGUUAUCCCACCAAGGAGGAGAAGGAAUAAAACCCAAAGAGCUAUUUUUACUUGGAAAUAUCUCAUUGGCAACCUCAAUAAAGAUUUUUGCUAAAGAAUCUGCACACUGAGAUUCUGUACCUGGAUUAAUUUUUGGAAGUGUUGGAAAUGAUAAUAAUAGUGGGAAGUGAUCACUACCAAAAGUAGAUCGUAAUGGAUCCCAGGACAAAGAAGAAGCAAGAUUAGGUGUAGUGACUGUUAAAUCUGGAGCACUUGGGCCCUCGUCAGGAUGAGAACGUCGUGUAGGACGACCAUCAUUUAAUAUACACAAAUUCACUGAAUCAAAUAUAUCUAUUAAUGUGUUACCAUAACUAUUAGAAGAUAAGUAACCCCAGGAUUCAUGGCGACAGUUAAAAUCACCAAGGAUCAUAAAAGGCUUCGGAAGAAUGGAAAUAAUAUCUUUAAUUUCAUUUAAGAUUGCAGAAGAAGGAUGAGGUAUAUAAAUAGAUACAUAACAGAUAUUUUCAACUAAAGCAGCAAUAAUAGAAAAAUCAUUACUGUGAGAAGGAAUAGAGAAGAGAGAAAAGGAAAGAGGGUGUUUCACAAGCAUGGCUACUCCGCCAUGCCCAUCCACACGAUCUUCUCUGAGACAUGAAUAACCACGAAUCUUAAAUAAAGAUCCUGGUUUUAACCAUGUCUCUUGAAGAGCACAGAUAUAAGGUUUAUAUUUAUUUAAUAAAUAAAUAAGAUCACUUUUUUUUAGGAGUGAUGCUUUGACAAUUCCAUUGAAGAACUUUGUCCAUUAUUUGGUUUAUAAAUUUGAGUAAUUGCAGAAACUAAUAAGGCAGCGUUGGACGGUGAAAAUUCAUUCGAUUGACUAAGAGAUUUUAUAAGAGAAAUAAUUAAAUCAAUUACUGAGGAUUCCAAA